RNAcentral lists this transfer RNA (72 nucleotides) under Camelus bactrianus (Bactrian camel). It matches the Rfam family "tRNA". Rfam says of the family: Transfer RNA (tRNA) molecules are approximately 80 nucleotides in length. Their secondary structure includes four short double-helical elements and three loops (D, anti-codon, and T loops). Lineage: Eukaryota; Metazoa; Chordata; Mammalia; Artiodactyla; Camelidae. RNAcentral also lists the same sequence under 2 other names. The record is from Rfam by way of RNAcentral.
GAAGGUAGAGCUCAGUGGUAGAGCAUGUGCUUAGCAUGCACGAGGUCCUGGGUUCAAUCCCCAGUAUCUCCG